AAAAGCUCCGGCAGUAUAGGAUGGUCCCGCGUCUGAUUAGCUGGUUGGUGAGGUAACGGCCCACCAAGGCGACGAUCAGUAGCCGGCUUGAGAGAGUGAACGGCCACAUUGGGACUGAGACACGGCCCAAACUCCUACGGGAGGCAGCAGUGGGGAAUAUUGCACAAUGGGGGAAACCCUGAUGCAGCGGCGCCGCGUGAGUGAAGAAGUAUUUCGGUAUGUAAAGCUCUAUCAGCAGGGAAGAAAAAGACGGUACCUGACUAAGAAGCCCCGGCUAACUACGUGCCAGCAGCCGCGGUAAUACGUAGGGGGCAAGCGUUAUCCGGAAUUACUGGGUGUAAAGGGUGCGUAGGUGGCAUGGUAAGUCAGAAGUGAAAGCCCGGGGCUUAACCCCGGGACUGCUUUUGAAACUGUCAUGCUGGAGUGCAGGAGAGGUAAGCGGAAUUCCUAGUGUAGCGGUGAAAUGCGUAGAUAUUAGGAGGAACACCAGUGGCGAAGGCGGCUUACUGGACUGUCACUGACACUGAUGCACGAAAGCGUGGGGAGCAAACAGGAUUAGAUACCCUGGUAGUCCACGCCGUAAACGA
RNAcentral lists this ribosomal RNA (587 nucleotides) under uncultured bacterium. Its description in RNAcentral is "bacterial SSU rRNA". It matches the Rfam family "Bacterial small subunit ribosomal RNA", at positions 202 to 809 of the family's 1533-position model. The record is from RNAcentral.